Molecule: long non-coding RNA, 913 nt
Filed under: Homo sapiens (human)
Lineage: Eukaryota; Metazoa; Chordata; Mammalia; Primates; Hominidae
Description: non-protein coding LINC00333:5
Source: RNAcentral
UCUCUAGACAAAUGAAUUUAAUUGAGAGGGCAGUCAGCUCUCCAUUUCUGAGGGUUCAUGCAGAUAUGGAGGGCCCACUAAAGGCCAUGAACAUCAGCAGAUUUUGGUAUGAUGCAGUGAGAGUGUCCUGGAACUAUCUCCCACAGAUACUGCGGGAAGACUAUAACUGUUUCUAUAAUAUCGUUUUGUCUUCAAAGACUCCUAGCAUAAUAUCUAUGGUGAAGACUAGAAAGCUGCUUUAUAUUCCUUGUCAAUAGCUUCUCUGGUGAAAUGAAACUGAGAAAGGGAAAAGACCACAUGGUUAAAAGGCAGGGGAGUGGUGGGCAGGUUGUAUGUAGUGCAAAACAAAUAAUAAUGAAAGAAAAAAAUUUCAUCCAGCUACCUACUUAUACUAAAUGCUAGACAACAUAUGGUGUUAAAUCAUUUUAGUUCUAGAAAAAAAAAUCCACAUGCAAUAAUUUUAAAAUGUUAAACAAAGAAUAUAGGAGGCCAUUAUAUUAAUUUUUUAUCUCUAAUUUGGACUCAGUCCUUGUUUACACCAGUGAAUUAAUGAGUAAAACUCAAUAUCUUCUUCAAUGUAGGUUCCUUCUUUCUAAUGGGAAUAUGUCAUGAAGAGUACCCCAUGUGUUACUUUUGAAAGGAGGAUUGGGAAAGGCACAAGGGAUUAUCUGGGGUACUCAAAAUGAGAGAUUUGCUGACCUUAGUAGUUGAUGGCUUUUGGUCAUUCUGCCUGGAGUAAAUGGCAUCUCAUUUUGGUUUUAAUUUGCAUUUCUCUGAUGAUUAAUGAUGUUUAGCAUUUUUUCAUAUGUUUAUCGGCCAUUUGUGUAUCUUCUUUUGAGGAGUGCCUAUUUAUGUCUUUUUGCCACUCUUUAAUGAAAUUAUUUGUUUUCUUCCUGCUGAUUUGUUCAAGUUC